CGUCCUCCCCAUGAGCCACCUUAUUCCAAUUAUCCCACAAUUUCCACAUAACAACUACAGACAAAUGGAAAAUACCUGGCGAGAGUCGUUGGUGAAGAUGCUCGAUCCAGGCCCAAGUCGACGGUGGUUGAUCAUCAAUAAUAGUAUCGAAGGGAUGGGAAUUCCAAACCUGACUUGAGUUGCCGCAUUUAGUUAUAACAUGAAGAAAAGUUUCGUAGUUGGUUCCACAACGUCGGCAACUAGGAUUGACAACAAUCGUUCGGCGGAAAAGCUCUGAUUGAGUUGGCAAUAUGUUCUAGCAUGCUCGCCACAAAAAGACCUUUAUCUUAGGUGGAAUAGGGAGAUUCCACACCAACUUCCAGUUUCUCUUUACCACUCUGCUGCCAGAUCCAACCUGA
RNAcentral lists this long non-coding RNA (398 nucleotides) under Erythranthe guttata (spotted monkey flower). RNAcentral's name for it is "long non-coding RNA (EGUT_LNC000339)". The record is from RNAcentral. Lineage: Eukaryota; Viridiplantae; Streptophyta; Magnoliopsida; Lamiales; Phrymaceae.